UACUGUAGAGAAUCUCAUUAAUCUUGUGGAUCAUACUUCACUACAGGAAAUUGAGGUAUUUAUAGCAGUGCAUUAUAGCGUUUAUUUAUGUUGUGUUAUGUUUAAGUUUUUAAUAGCGUUUCAUUUUUGGGAAACUCUACGAAUAGGUCGUCUUUAAAAAAAAUGGUGACGCGUAGAAAAAUUGGAAGCGCAAAUAAAAAAAUUGACCCGCU
This 212-nucleotide long non-coding RNA is filed under the name Brassica napus (rape). RNAcentral's name for it is "long non-coding RNA (BNAP_LNC009819)". Lineage: Eukaryota; Viridiplantae; Streptophyta; Magnoliopsida; Brassicales; Brassicaceae. The record is from RNAcentral.